GACGAACGCUGGCGGCGUGCUUAACACAUGCAAGUCGAACGGAAAGGCCCCUUUGGGGGUACUCGAGUGGCGAACGGGUGAGUAACACGUGAGUAACCUGCCCUUGACUUCGGGAUAACUUCAGGAAACUGGGGCUAAUACCGGAUAGGAAUCCUUGCUGCAUGGUGGGGGUUGGAAAGCUUCGGCGGGUUUGGAUGGACUCGCGGCUUAUCAGCUUGUUGGUGGGGUAGUGGCUUACCAAGGCUUUGACGGGUAGCCGGCCUGAGAGGGCGACCGGCCACAUUGGGACUGAGAUACGGCCCAGACUCCUACGGGAGGCAGCAGUGGGGAAUAUUGCACAAUGGGCGGAAGCCUGAUGCAGCAACGCCGCGUGCGGGAUGACGGCCUUCGGGUUGUAAACCGCUUUCAGCAGGGGCGAAGCUUGUGGUGACGGUACCUGCAGAAGAAGCACCGGCUAACUACGUG
RNAcentral lists this ribosomal RNA (465 nucleotides) under uncultured bacterium. RNAcentral describes it as "partial 16S ribosomal RNA". It matches the Rfam family "Bacterial small subunit ribosomal RNA", at positions 28 to 507 of the family's 1533-position model. The record is from RNAcentral.